UUUUCAAAAACAUGUCUUUUAAGAUUUAUAAUUAAAGGUCGGGCCUGCCCUAUGAGAUUUUAAAUGGCCGCGGUAUUUUGACCGUGCUAAGGUAGCAUAAUCAUUAGUUUCUUAAUUAGAAGCUGGAAUGAAGGGUUUGAUGAAAAAAUUUCUGUCUCAAUUUUAUAUUUUUGAAUUUUAUUUUUAAGUAAAAAAGCUUAAAUUUUAAUAAAAGACGAGAAGACCCUAUAGAGUUUAAUAUUUUUGCAUAAAAAUAUUGAAAUGAGGAAUUAUUUCUAAUUUGUGUAAAUAUAUUUAAUUGGGGUGAUUUAAAAAUUAAGUUAACUUUUUGUAAAUUUAAACAUUAAUAUAUGAAAAUAAAAUGAUCCUAAAAUUAAUUUAGAUUAAAAGAAUAAAUUACCUUAGGGAUAACAGCGUGAUUUUUUCUAAGAGUUCUAAUCGAAGAAAAAGAUUGCGACCUCGAUGUGGGGAUUAAAA
RNAcentral lists this ribosomal RNA (477 nucleotides) under Pityogenes knechteli. RNAcentral describes it as "partial 16S ribosomal RNA". It matches the Rfam family "Bacterial large subunit ribosomal RNA", at positions 1804 to 2545 of the family's 2925-position model. The record is from RNAcentral. Lineage: Eukaryota; Metazoa; Arthropoda; Insecta; Coleoptera; Curculionidae.